AUUUAGAAAUCUGUCAAUUUGUUCUUACAGUUUUGAUUAUUACCAUACAUAAUUUUUGGAGCUCUGGCCCCUUUAAUAUUUUUUAUUUGGUUCUCAAUCUUCUGACUUGGCUUUCCAAUAAUUCAGACAUAAAUGCCUCACAAUUACUACUUCUCUCUGUUACUGAGUCAAAUAAGCCAGAAUUGUGAAAAUAUUUUGCACAUUAGUCUGCUUCUGCACUCAAAAUAUAUGCAAGCAAGGCAGAAAAGACUCCCAAAACGCAGACGUCGACAUAAUCAACCCACAACUCAUUUUACAAAUUUUAACUCAUCAAUGUAAAGAAAGGCACAAUUUACUAUUCUUUUUCUUUCAAGGUGACGCAAAACGCGUCAUGUUUGCACCGUUUAAACUGUAGUUUCGCAGGACCACAGGUGCUACAGAUCACCUCGGUGUGUGCAGCAGCUGACAGCCUUGAACCAGCUGAAACAGCAUUAGGAGAGUCGUCUCCACUGCAGAAACGCUGAUGGUGUUUGACCAACUUGUGCAUACGCUGCACUUAAAAGCAUUUAAUGAAGAGGCAGAUGGACACAUGCUGAUGUUGGGCAGGCGGACACAUCAGCAGAGACGUAUUGAUAAAUCAGGGCCGCGCUCCUCCUCAUCCAGCCAAGACACGAGUCAGCAUGAAGAGCUGGAAGAUCAAUAGCUGCACAGCUUCAGUCAGUGAGAGGACAACCCAGAGCUGGGCGGAUCAAUUGGUCUGCUCCAGAGCUAAUUGUGUCAUUAAUUAUUGAUAGUAACAACUGACAGUUAUUGACAAAGCCUGAAACGGCUAACAUAUACGGCGUGGUCAUGUUAACAGAGUGAUGGGUUUGUGUUUUUAUUCUUCUCCGCUUUGAUUUGCUUCCCUUUGUGAUGGAAAGAAAGGUGAAGAAAUCUCAGCCUCUCUGGAGCUCUGUUGUGGAGAAAAAACCUGAAUGUUUUAUCGAGAUAACAACAGAUUGUUAAGAGAAAUGUAACGGAAAGACAACAGCUGCAGUUUCACAAUGUUUCAAUUUAUGAUUUAUGUCACUUUACAACAACGUUUGAGAAAUGUAGUAUUGGAAAGUACAGGUAGUCUACAUCAAUUUUUCCAGGUUAUUCAGUGUGCAGUUGAGACUAGACGUUUACACACUUUUGUCUCUCACUAUUUGAGGUUAAAUCAUACUAAAUGUCUCGUUUCAGGUCAGUUAGAAUCAGUUAGAAAAAUUAUUUAUAUUCGUGAAAUGCCUCAGUGAGAGAAAGAAUACGUGAGAGAUUAAUGUACAUUUUCUCAAAAUCAGAAGUUUACCUAUAUUUCCUUAGCAUUUUUAACUAUGACUUGGGUAAAACCAUUUCCACAAACAGUAUAAAUAUGAACAUUUGAAGUGGUCUAGUCAAAUAAAUUCAACUGAGGUGUUUUUUUAUUAUUAGUGACUGAAAUCAUCAUUUGAAAAUGCAAUUCCUGUUUGCAAAACAUUGUUUGAUCAUUUGUUACAUUUAAUUGUGAUAAAAUGAAGGAAAGGGAGUGAAUUUUUUCACAGCAUCACAUGAGGAAUUUAUUCUCCAGAAAAAGGAAACUAUUUUUGAAAAUUGGCAAAUAUCAAGCAUAUUUUUGGAGUGUCAAGGCAAAUACUCCAGGUGAGUUUUGUGUGAACGUACCUGAGAAUGUGACUAAGUGCAUGUCAUCCAAAACUCAAAAAUACAAAGAUCCUCAGUGAAAACGUGGUUUUUAUACAUUCUUACUUAUUUGGUGUAGAAAACGUCUUGAAAAUUGAUCAAUUCACUGGGUGUUCAUAUUAUU
This is a long non-coding RNA of Gambusia affinis (western mosquitofish), 1798 nucleotides long. RefSeq lists it as uncharacterized. NCBI's taxonomy places the organism in Eukaryota, Metazoa, Chordata, Actinopteri, Cyprinodontiformes, Poeciliidae. The transcript is spliced from 2 exons. The record is from RefSeq and is a predicted model, not a curated record.